This 497-nucleotide ribosomal RNA is filed under the name uncultured bacterium. RNAcentral describes it as "partial 16S ribosomal RNA". It matches the Rfam family "Bacterial small subunit ribosomal RNA", at positions 28 to 507 of the family's 1533-position model. The record is from RNAcentral.
GAUGAACGCUGGCGGCGUGCCUAAUACAUGCAAGUCGAGCGAACGGACGAGAAGCUUGCUUUUCUGAUGUUAGCGGCGGACGGGUGAGUAACACGUGGAUAACCUACCUAUAAGACUGGGAUAACUUCGGGAAACCGGAGCUAAUACCGGAUAAUAUUUUGAACCGCAUGGUUCAAAAGUGAAAGACGGUCUUGCUGUCACUUAUAGAUGGAUCCGCGCUGCAUUAGCUAGUUGGUAAGGUAACGGCUUACCAAGGCAACGAUGCAUAGCCGACCUGAGAGGGUGAUCGGCCACACUGGAACUGAGACACGGUCCAGACUCCUACGGGAGGCAGCAGUAGGGAAUCUUCCGCAAUGGGCGAAAGCCUGACGGAGCAACGCCGCGUGAGUGAUGACGGUCUUCGGAUCGUAAAACUCUGUUAUUAGGGAAGAACAUAUGUGUAAGUAACUGUGCACAUCUUGACGGUACCUAAUCAGAAAGCCACGGCUAACUACGUG